CUUUUAACUUGCUCUAGCCGUUCGUCUUGCUCUUGAGUAAGCUCGUGUGCUUGCUGCUCGCUAGUCUCCAUCUUGUUAUCCGUGAAGUGUUUGCGUAUCUUCUCUGGUUCCAGUUCUUCGACUCCAAGGACGUUCGUUGCUAGCUUGAAUUUUCUCCAAAAAUCUACUACCAAAGUACGACGUGUCUCUGUCCGGACGCCGUUUUUACGCACGACCGGAAUGGUUGCACUGGGAUGCCUAACUCUUCUACCAGUUCUCUACAAUCUUUUCCAAGUAUACUUAUCGAUGCACCCGAGUCCAGCAGGCCUCGGACGGACUUUUCCCCGAUCAGAAUGUCCACAAAAGUUCUCGGAUCGUCUAUGUCGUUUGAGAUGGUCGUCGCUGCCACUUCUUGCCGUGUUUCCUUACGUUGUGUGUAUCGUUGGCGCACCUUUUGUACCUUCCGCGUGACCAAAUUCGGAGUGCCUAGUGAAUGCUCUUGAAAAAUACGUUGACGUGUCCGAUAAUAAUUUCGAAUUCGCUGCUCUAUUGGUUUUAUAGGGUUUUCUCGAAAAGGAUUUCUCCACUUUCUAUUAUUCUCACAAGGGUUUCGCAAAAUUUUAAUUUCUUUGUUUCUUUCCAGUGGUUCUUCUCGGUCGUUUAACUGGGGUUCGGUAUUGGUGGCUUUAUCUACUCCGAGACCUGUGUGGAGCGUGACUGACCCGGCACCGUCGCGUUCCGCAUUCCAUUUCCCGGGUUGCAUCUUAUACAAUUCGGCGUGAUUACCUCGGGUAUGACCUUCUUUAUCGCUGUUCCAGCAACGUAGGGGCUUUUUAGUUUUAACCACUUCACGUGUUGCUACUCGGUUUGGCUGCCAAUUCGGAAGCACCUCCUCGACGACGACUUGACCCUCAUCGUCGCCGAGUUUAUGAUCACCGCUUCUAUCAAACGUCAGCUCAUUAGCAUGAUACGUUCUCUGAGGAACACUACCCAGUAUCAGGCGCUCACGUCUUGGGAAACUCCUCUCUGCCUCUAUGCACUCUAUGCGCAGCUGAUCCACCGUCCAUAUGGGAAUUGGAUAAACAAUUCGCGCCAAUGACUCCCUAAGGUUACGCUUGAUAAUUUUCACUGCUUCGUACUCUGCUAUAGGGUUCCGCAAACCUAUCCACGGAUUCACCUGGCUGUUGCUUCCGUUCCGUCAGA
This is a long non-coding RNA of Rhagoletis pomonella (apple maggot), 1182 nucleotides long. RefSeq lists it as uncharacterized. NCBI's taxonomy places the organism in Eukaryota, Metazoa, Arthropoda, Insecta, Diptera, Tephritidae. The transcript has 3 exons. The record is from RefSeq and is a predicted model, not a curated record.